CCUACGGGGGGCAGCAGUGAGGAAUAUUGGUCAAUGGGCGCGAGCCUGAACCAGCCAUGCCGCGUGAAGGAUGACGGCUCUAUGGGUUGUACACUUCUUUUGUAACGGGGUAAAAUGCUCUACGCGUCGCGCUUUGCAAGUACCGUACGAAUAAGGAUCGGCUAACUCCGUGCCAGCAGCCGCGGUAAUACGGAGGAUCCGAGCGUUAUCCGGAUUCAUUGGGUUUAAAGGGUGCGUAGGCGGUUUUAUAAGUUAGCGGUGAAAGUCCGGUGCUCAACAACGGUAGUGCCGUUGAAACUGGAGGACUAGAGUACGGAUGAAGCAGGCGGAAUGUGUGGUGUAGCGGUGAAAUGCAUAGAUAUUACGCAGAACACCGAUUGCGAAGGCAGCUUGCUAGGCCGGAUCUGACGCUGAUGCACGAAAGUGUGGGUAUCGAACAGGAUUAGAUACCCUAGUAGUC
This 460-nucleotide ribosomal RNA is filed under the name uncultured bacterium. RNAcentral's name for it is "partial 16S ribosomal RNA". It matches the Rfam family "Bacterial small subunit ribosomal RNA", at positions 338 to 795 of the family's 1533-position model. The record is from RNAcentral.